This 484-nucleotide ribosomal RNA is filed under the name uncultured bacterium. RNAcentral describes it as "partial 16S ribosomal RNA". It matches the Rfam family "Bacterial small subunit ribosomal RNA", at positions 30 to 507 of the family's 1533-position model. The record is from RNAcentral.
AUUGAACGCUGGCGGCAGGCCUAACACAUGCAAGUCGAGCGGAUGAAGGGAGCUUGCUCCUGGAUUCAGCGGCGGACGGGUGAGUAAUGCCUAGGAAUCUGCCUGGUAGUGGGGGAUAACGUCCGGAAACGGGCGCUAAUACCGCAUACGUCCUGAGGGAGAAAGUGGGGGAUCUUCGGACCUCACGCUAUCAGAUGAGCCUAGGUCGGAUUAGCUAGUUGGUGGGGUAAAGGCCUACCAAGGCGACGAUCCGUAACUGGUCUGAGAGGAUGAUCAGACACACUGGAACUGAGACACGGUCCAGACUCCUACGGGAGGCAGCAGUGGGGAAUAUUGGGCAAUGGGCGAAAGCCUGAUCCAGCCAUGCCGCGUGUGUGAAGAAGGUCUUCGGAUUGUAAAGCACUUUAAGUUGGGAGGAAGGGCAGUAAGUUAAUACCUUGCUGUUUUGACGUUACCAACAGAAUAAGCACCGGCUAACUUCGUG